RNAcentral lists this ribosomal RNA (465 nucleotides) under uncultured bacterium. Its description in RNAcentral is "partial 16S ribosomal RNA". It matches the Rfam family "Bacterial small subunit ribosomal RNA", at positions 28 to 507 of the family's 1533-position model. The record is from RNAcentral.
GACGAACGCUGGCGGCGUGCUUAACACAUGCAAGUCGAACGGAAAGGCCCCUUUGGGGGUACUCGAGUGGCGAACGAGUGAGUAACACGUGCGUAACUUGCCCUUGACUUCGUGUGAACUUAAGUAAACUGGGGCUAAUACCGGCCAGGAAUCCUUUCCUGCUGCAUGGGGUUGGAAAGCUUGGGUGGGUUUGGGGGGACUCGCGGCUUAUCUGGUUGUUGGUGGGGUAGGGGCUUACCAAGGAUUUGACGGGUAGCCGGCCGGGGAGGGCGACCGGCCACAAUGGGAAUGAGAUACGGCCCAGACGCCUACGGGGGGGAGCAGGGGGGAAUAUUGCACAAUGGGCGGGAGCCCGAUGCAGCAACGCCGGGGGCGGGAUGACCGCCUUCGGGUUGUAAACCGCUUUCAGCAGGGGCGGAGCUUGUGGUGACGGUAACUGGAGAAGAAGCACCGGCUAACUACGUG